AACGAACGCUGGCGGCAGGCUUAACACAUGCAAGUCGAGCGAGACCUUCGGGUCUAGCGGCGGACGGGUGAGUAACGCGUGGGAACGUGCCCUUCUCUACGGAAUAGCCCCGGGAAACUGGGAGUAAUACCGUAUACGCCCUUUGGGGGAAAGAUUUAUCGGGGAAGGAUCGGCCCGCGUUGGAUUAGGUAGUUGGUGGGGUAAUGGCCCACCAAGCCGACGAUCCAUAGCUGGUUUGAGAGGAUGAUCAGCCACACUGGGACUGAGACACGGCCCAGACUCCUACGGGAGGCAGCAGUGGGGAAUCUUAGACAAUGGGGGCAACCCUGAUCGAGCCAUGCCGCGUGAGUGAUGAAGGCCUUAGGGUUGUAAAGCUCUUUCAGCUGGGAAGAUAAUGACGGUACCAUCAGAAGAAGCCCCGGCUAACUCCGUG
This 433-nucleotide ribosomal RNA is filed under the name uncultured bacterium. RNAcentral describes it as "partial 16S ribosomal RNA". It matches the Rfam family "Bacterial small subunit ribosomal RNA", at positions 29 to 507 of the family's 1533-position model. The record is from RNAcentral.